UACCACAGAAAUUAAAAAUCGCGUAUCGCAGUGCGGGCGAUCUUUGCAGUUAGAUGAUCACCCAUACUUGCUAUUAAAUCAUAGUAUUAUUUUAUAUAAAUUAUUAUUUUAUCUGUUGGGAGAGUAAUUAUAGGAGGUUUUCACUCCAUUGCAAUAAACAAUUCAUAGUUUACUAAUUGGCCCCCCUUAUUUGUUUAACAAUUUUGAUAUAAAUGAGCAUAUGUUCUAAUAUAUCUCGAAUAAGUCAGAAUCGAACCCGAAUAUUCAGGAUAACAGAGGAUGGAUUCUUCACUUAUACUAUUCAAUCGUGAUUUUACUAUUUGAAGGAGCACACAUUGUUGAUGUGAUCAGUGACAGUGUCAUGGCGUUUUGCGAUGGUGCUAAACCAAUUAUCACUAAAUCUAUAUUAAUGUUGUGAAUAUCAUAAUCCGAAAAAUGUCUUGAAUAUCAUUUAUUACCCUUAAUAUCACAAUCAUGAAAAAUAUCUCGAAUAUCAUUUAUUAACGCUACAUUGUGUAGCAUUUUAGAUAUUCAUAAAAAACCUCCAUCGUAUAACGUGACGCUAGUUUAUGUUGCGUUCAUGUAGCAUUUUGCUAGGAUUAAAACAACAAAACACUACUCGAUUUAGCGUCUUCUUUUCAAAUUGAAAAUACUAGAUUAUAUAAUGUUAAUAACCGAUAUUUAUAGUUAUUUUUUCGAAAUGUGUGACAUUGGGACGCGUUUUGUUAAUUUAAGACUUAUAAGUGAUUAAAGUGUAAGAAAAGAAGUAGAAGUCCUGAAACAAAAAUUAGCAUUAUCAACUUUUUACAAGUGUUUCUGGUUUUUUACACAAACGAGUCAAGAGGGGCUGAAACAAAAGUUAGUAUUCUCAACUUAUUACAAGUGCUUCUGACUUUUUACACAAACGACUUUAAAAAAAUAUAGUAGAAGUUGGUUUCUUCUGACUUUUUACACAAACGACUUUAAAAAAAUAGAGUAGAAGUUGGCUUCUUGGCAAAAAAGCCAGAAGUCUUGCUUUUGGGGUCAUUUCCAGCGAUACUAAUGAUACCAAAAGCGACCAAAUAGAUGUUUUUUUUUUUUUUUUUGAAACAGACCAAAUAGAUGUUUAUGCUUUAAUUUGUGCGCAUAAAAUGGACUAUUAUAUCCACAAAGAUUCAGCUAUUAACAAAUUGGCUCAUCAUUUUUCAAGUUUUUUGAGAAAUUUUUUUGGAUGCAUUGAUAUUUCUUUCACUUCUUCAAUACAUCAAUGACAAGUGUAGAAGAAUUGCCAACCUCAGCCUUUGUGAAUUACAACAAAAUUAAAAAGUAUCCCAAAAUAACCCUAUGACUAGAAACUAGAAAUAUUAUAAUAUUCAUAAAAGAAUAUUUUUUUGCUAAAUAUAAAAGAAAAUUUUCACAAAUACUAUUUCUACCUGUCUAAAAUAUGUUAUUUUCACAAAUUUAGGUAACAACUAGUGUAAGUAUACACUAAAUAGGCUCAGAUGAGAAUGAUGUGCACGAGGCAAAGAGGGUGCCACCGCCAUGGCUGCAACCGAGUUGCCCCGCCAAGACACGGCUCACUCACUCCAAUUCCCCGAGUCAACUCAGAAAAACCCACUUGACUCAUCAUCAUAGCCUUUGGGGCCGUUUGGAUAAACUUGUACAUAUUUCACCAUGCUGAUCUUCCUUUGCAUCGAGAUAUAAACAAUCUCGAUGAUUAGAGAUAUGUACAUACAGAUAACAGAAACACGCAGAGACACGCGAGGGUUGUUAAUUAUCAGAUGUGGAAUGAAAUCACAGGCUCAUCGAAUGACUGAAAAAUCAAUCGAUAUUGUACAGAGAGGGGUAACUACCCUCGACAACGCCGGCCUCUCUGAAACCUCUUUCGGGUUUUGUUUUUCUGAGUGUUUCUUCAUCCCAUGCCCUAAUUUUCCCCCCAAUCUCUGUUUUUAUAGUCUGUGUUUUUUGCUUUCGGUUCCCUGUUUGCCCUUAUUUUAAUACAAUCUCUGUCCCCCGAUUUUUUUUUUUUUUUUUGUCAUAAACACUUUUACGUGGAUGAAUUGUACCGAAAUACAAUAUCCGUAAAAACAGAAUUCUUUCAUUCAAGAAGUUUAUCAUUUAAUCGAAAUACAUGUAAAAAUGUCCCCG
RNAcentral lists this long non-coding RNA (2127 nucleotides) under Daucus carota (carrot). RNAcentral describes it as "long non-coding RNA (DCAR_LNC001336)". Lineage: Eukaryota; Viridiplantae; Streptophyta; Magnoliopsida; Apiales; Apiaceae. The record is from RNAcentral.